RNAcentral lists this unclassified non-coding RNA (336 nucleotides) under soil metagenome. Its description in RNAcentral is "partial contains 5.8S ribosomal RNA, internal transcribed spacer 2, and large subunit ribosomal RNA". The stretch from base 1 to 120 matches the Rfam family "5.8S ribosomal RNA", at positions 35 to 154 of the family's 154-position model. The record is from RNAcentral.
GAUGAAGAACGCAGCGAAAUGCGAUAAGUAGUGUGAAUUGCAGAAUUCAGUGAAUCAUCGAAUCUUUGAACGCACAUUGCGCCCCUUGGUAUUCCAUGGGGCAUGCCUGUUCGAGCGUCAUUUGUACCCUCAAGCUAUGCUUGGUGUUGGGUGUUUGUCUCGCCUUUGCGUGUAGACUCGCCUUAAAAUAAUUGGCAGCCGGCGUAUUGAUUUCGGAGCGCAGUACAUCUCGCGCUUUGCACUCAUAACGACAGCGUCCAAAAGUACAUUUUACACUCUUGACCUCGGAUCAGGUAGGGAUACCCGCUGAACUUAAGCAUAUCAAUAAGCGGAGGA